AUGUCCCACUCGUAAACGCCGGUUUCUCCGCGCCGUCCCCCCGACAACUGCUCGCCAAGUCUUUUGGCC
This 69-nucleotide small RNA is filed under the name Xanthomonas sp. 3793. RNAcentral describes it as "sRNA sX9". It matches the Rfam family "Xanthomonas sRNA sX9". Lineage: Bacteria; Pseudomonadati; Pseudomonadota; Gammaproteobacteria; Lysobacterales; Lysobacteraceae. The record is from RNAcentral.